CCCAACCCCACUGGCCUGGAGGAACGUUUGGAGCAGCCUGGCAGUGAGAUCCUUUUGGUAGCUUCCAAGGAUUUUUGGGAUCAUGGGAUACAUGGACAUACAGACCCAUGAAGCCCUCUGGAGAAUGCUGGCUGUGGAUAAAAGCAUCUUCCAGUUCCUACCAUCUUUUUACCCUGUUUUUUUCCUGGGUCACCAUGUGCCAUUUGGGAAGGAAGCCUCUCUGUCCUGAGGAUUAUAGUGUACUGGUCACUCACUGGAAUACCUCCCCAGUCAUCUUUUGGAGAUGAAGCCAUUCCUUUACCGAGCUGGAAGAUAUUUUUUCUUCUCCCAGAGCUUUUCCAGAGUAGCAGCACUCCUGUCCAGCGGGUCUCCGUUAACUGCGAAAAGGAGCAAGGAGGAGCAAGUGGAAGGGAAGUCAGAUCCUGCCGGGGUUUCCUGGGAAAUGAGGUGUAUCCACUCUUUGGAUGAUGAAGCUUGAUGAGCUCCAGUUUGGCUUGGAUUACAAUAUUUCAGAAGACUUUCUGAACUUGCCAGGCAACCCUCCCUCUUUGAGGACAGUGGAGCUUAAGUUUAUAUCUCCGGUAUCACACAGGAGAAAGAGCAUUGCUUGGCUGCUUUGCACAAGUAAUGAAAAUCAGUGCUGUGUUGCCAUUCGAAGGAAUGCUCAAAAGGGAAAAGCCUGGAAUAUAGAUCUUGUAUUAGAGACAGAUUUUGUCUGGGGAGAGGUUGCCUGCCUAAGGGAAGAUGCAGGAAGAAAGAGGAGAGGUGAUGCUACAAGCCAGCUUCCUGACUUCCAGAGUGGGACUGGAGCUUCGUAAUAAGAUUUAUCUGGAAAGUAUGACCGGCAGGAGCAGCUUACUCACCAUUAGAUAAGUAUUACAGAUGACUCAUGCAGUAUUGAUAGCUGUGCAGCUGAGAGGAAUAUACUGUUUUAUAACAGCUGUCAUGUGAUGCCAAGAGCCAGAAACCUUAAUUUCACCAUCCAUGCAUUUCCAUGAACGUGCUUGGGUCUCUGGCACCUUUUGUCCUUCUUCUUUUGUCCGUACAAAGGGUUCACAGAAGAAGUUCUGCUUCCCUCAGUGGGGUACAGGGUAUGGGGCAGCUCAUGUAAUUUCAAAUUGUCACCUUGAAAUGAAAGCUAGUGUUGAAAGGCUGCAGUGUUGUAGCUGUUCUCCGGGACCUGAAAUUUUUGUCUUUUUAAUAGAUAUCAUAAGUGGAUUUCCUUGAUUCUUUGGGGUUUUUUUUUGUUUUGUUUUGUUUUUUUUGUGUUUCCAGAGCCAUUACACUCCUUCUCCAGCAUGACAAACCAGAAGGUGCAGAAACAGCAGCUAUGUGGGAGACCAGAAAGCUGGCUGAGAUGUGGACUCCUGCACUCUGGAUGUCUGAAGCUGCAUGAGGUGAACUCCCCUCUCACUGCUUGCAUGAGUGAGAAGGAGUUACUAGAACAAAGCACCUAAUGCAGAGCCAUCUGACACCACAGAAGAUGAAAAUAAUAUGGAAACUUUAAUCAGCUCUCAGCAGCUGAGCAGUCUCUGGAGGUCCUUGUACCAAGCCUGACCCACUUGCUGAACCCCAGCAGUGCAGCACUGGGUGCUCCACAUGCCUUCAGAAGAAUGAAAGGACAGCAAUCUGAAAAGAGACAAGGGGAUGGCAGUCAGUGGUAAGUGUUUAUUUAGAAAGAGUUGGAGCAUUUUGUUCAU
This is a long non-coding RNA of Empidonax traillii (willow flycatcher), 1700 nucleotides long. RefSeq lists it as uncharacterized. Lineage: Eukaryota; Metazoa; Chordata; Aves; Passeriformes; Tyrannidae. The record is from RefSeq and is a predicted model, not a curated record. The transcript has 5 exons.